CUUGGGCCACUCCCGUGGCAUAUGGAGGGUCCCAGGCUAGUGGUCUAAUCGGAGCUGCAGCUGCCAGCCUAUACCACAGCCACAGCAACGCGGGAUCCGAGCCGAGUCUGCAACCUACACCACAGUUCACGGCAACGCCGGACUGUUAACCCACUGAGCAAGGGCAGGGACCGAACCCGCAACCUCAUGGUUCCUAGUCGGAUUCGUUAACCACUGCGCCACGACGGGAACUCCUAUAGGAGUGGCCAGCUUGCUGGAGAAUAACAUCAAUUUCAAAUUCUUGGCUUGGGUAUAGAAUUCAUAGGCCGGCCACUUCUUCCAUUUGGCAGAGACAAAAUCAAGUCCAUCGGAUGGUGGCUUUGCAUGUCCAUACUUGUCAGCGUGACCAAAGCACAGCCUUAAGGGAGCAAAGGCUACAGCAAGAUGAAGAAGUUCAAACUCAAAAGUGAGAUUCACUGGUUUCAAGGAAUUUUUUUUUUUUUAAAUGAGACUCUCAUUCCUUAAAGACAUACCCUCAACUGAAAAUACACACGCCAAAACCAAAACAACCCAAAAAAACCCCACCAUGAAUUACUCUUUCACCAAAUUCCUACAAAACCACGGUGGAUCAGCCUAUUCAUAAGAAAAUGACGUCUUCCACAGCAUGUAUCUCAAGCAAAAACUAAGCUGGGCAAAUAGUCAAGCCUAUUUUCUUUACUGUUCUAGGACAUUUCAUGGUGUCUAUUUCUCAGUAUUGGGUUUCUAAUUAAACUGGAUUUGCUUAGGUUUGUUUGAAAUGGUAUGUAUAUACAUUUAGCUAUUAAUAAGUAUAACAAUAUACUUGUAGUAAGUUCAUUAUAUACUUAUAUGAUAUACAUAGAAUAUGUUAUUAACUCAUCAGUAAGUAUAAGAAAUCAUCGGCUGACUGUGGCCCCAAGUUGUCCCAGAGGGGAUUUGAAUUUUUGGGGGGUGUACACCACAGCAAUUUAUAAUUUUUAAGGGUUAUACUCCAUUUAUAGUUAUAUUGGCUGUAUUUCCUAUGAUUUACAAUACAUCCUUGUAGUUUAUUUAAUUUUUGCUUUUUAGGGCCACACCUACGGCAUAUGGAAGUUCCCAGGCUAGGGGUUGAAUGGGAGCUACAGCUGCCAGCCUACACCACAGCCACAGCAACUCGGGAUUUGAGCUGCAUCUGCAACCAACACCACAGCUCACAGUAACACUGGAUCCCCGACCCACUGAGCGAGGUCAGGGAUCAAACUCACAUCCUCAUGGAUACUCAUUGGAUUUUUUUCCACUGUAGCACAACAGGGAACUCCUAUUUUAUACUUAGUGGUUUGUACCUCUUAAUCCCCUACCCCUGUUGCCCUCCUUCCCUCUCCCUGGUAACCACUAGUUUAUUCUUGGUAUCUGUUUUGUUUUUUUUUUAAAUAUUCACUCAUUUGUUGUAUUUUUCAGAUUCCACAUAUAAGUGAUAUCACAUAGCAUUUGUCUUUCUCUGACUUAUAUCACUUAGCAUAAUGCCCUCUAAAUCCAUCCAUGUUGUUACAAAUGGCAACAUUUCCUUCUUAGGAGGCACAUGGGGGUUUAAUAAACCUACUGAGGAUAAAGCUCAGCAGCUGUUCCAUGCCCUAAGCAAGUUGUCUGCUGAUUUCUUAGCAUGAACAAUUAAACCUGAAAAUAAACUUUUUAUUAAAUGCAAAGCUAGAGUUAUUAAAAGUGGCAUAUACUGGGCUAUGACUUCACUGAUAAUUGAAUUAGUACACUGUCAUUUUUCUUUACUUUGCCUCAAUGUGUUCUUCAUUAAAGUGAAAAAAAUAACAAUUUUUAAAAAAGCAUAUUAUCCUUAAUCCAUUGCAUUAGCCUAGUUAUUAGUUAAAUCAUUGUUGGAAGGAAAAGUGGUCCCACUGCUGUUCUUCUAUUAAAUGACUAUAACUUUAAAUGAGCUGUAGCUAACGGAAGAGAGCUCAGACUGUCUUCUGAAACUGUAGCAGUUGCAAGAAAACAAAAAUACAGAAGUUCCAAUUACUUCCUAAUGUUCACUUCACAUAUCAUAUAUGAAAUCAAAUUCCAGAAAUUAUAAUGUCCAUUCCUGUGAAAUGGCUGCAAAUUCAACCUGGUUUUAAAAUUUUGUGUUGAAGAAAGAUUUUUUUUUUAAAAAAAAGAACUUAAAAUCUUUACCAAGCACCUGGUAGGUCUACUGAUGUUGUUUUUAGUUCUACUGACAAGCUCUAUAAAACACAGGUGCUUAGGAGUUCCCGUUGCGGCUCAGCAGUUAACGAACACGACUAGGAUUCAUGAGGAUGUGGAUUCGAUCCCUGGCCUCGUUCAGUGGGUUAAAGAUCUGGCGUUGCUGUGAGCUGUGGUAUAGGUUGCAGAAGCUGCUUGGAUCUGGUGUGUCUGUGACUGUGGUGUAGGCCAGCAGCUGUAGUUCUGAUUGGACCCCUUGCCUGGGAACCUCCAUAUGCCGCGGGUGUGGCCCUAGAAAAAUUAAAAAUAAAACAUAGGUGCUUAAAGUUGUUUUGUUUUUAAACAUUCUCACUCUAAGAUGGCACAAACUGUUAAGAAAGUAAUAUACUAAAACUAGGUAUUUGUAUUGCCAACCCAUAAUCCUGAAUAUCUUUUAUUCAGAACAUAGCUUGUGUAGCUUCCACUUGGUUCCUUAUUCAUUUUCUCCUUUCACUUUAUUAAAAUAAAUCAGUAAAACUAUCCACAAUUUAAGACAACAGCAAGGCCUAUAAAUGCAGGUUUCGGAUUCAAAUUUCUCUGGGAAAUGUUUUCCUUCCAAUUCUCUCUGCCCUGGGAUUUCAUGUUUUCCCUUUUAUUGGUGGCAUCCAAUACCUCCAAUUUUUAACAUUUUCAGACAUGUGUUUCUCUGUAGGUUAAAAGGAAGGAAGUUUAUUCAAACAGCUAAUUCCCAAGUUUAAAGUUCUCAUAUAAUGUAGUUUUUGCUCACGUCUCAAUGACAUAAUUCCCUAAGCUUAAACCAUCAAACAUGAUUACCUCUCUUUGUGCAAAAAGCCACAUACUACAAAUAGUUUUUGUCACAAAACGGUAUUCAUGUAUAAAAGAAAGAAUAGAUACAAGAUUUUACUUAUAAAAGAUUGCUAAAAUAUGUAGCUCCCUUAUAAUCAUAUACUGUUGAACUGCUCCAACUGACUAGUUCUCAACACCAUUUUCUCAGCAAACUUUGCUUUCUCUCUUCCUGCUAAGCAGAAACCUUAAAAAACAGAUCAGAAGCAUUUUAAUGAAGUAGAUGAAAACAGCCAAAAGUUCUUGAAGCCCUACAGAAAAACUGUAGAUGUGAUCAGGCCCUGACAUGUCACGUCUUCUGUACCCUCAUCGUCUCUCCUGCCCUAUUUCACAUACUCUGGUAAGUCGGUUCCUCUGGCUACUGGAUACGACCUGAGAUUUAAAAAGCAAAAACGCUGUCAUAAUACGCUUUGUAAAAUCUUGAAUGUCGUAAAGGAAGUGGAAGAGGCAUUUACCUACAGUGUGAUUUGGUUUUUGCCAUAAAAAAGCAAAUUUAAACCUGAGAAGUAAAGAGCCCAUUGACUGCAUUCACUUACAGGAGAACAAGACUUCCUGACAGAAGUUCAAAUGCACCCUACCCCGUGGGCUGGCGAGUGUUAUACACCCCACACUGUCUUGGGGUGAAGCAGGAUUAUGGCUACGACAAUACUCCACAGUGGCCAGAUGCCACAAGUACAGUCAGUAGCAACGGAGUCAUUUCUAAGUCAGCUACAGAAAGUAACCCCAAAUAUCACUUCCCUAGAAAUACUGGCCAGUGCUCUAUCGGGAAAAUAGAUUUUGAAGAAUGACCCAUAAAACUUCAAAAUUGAGACCCCAUUCCUUAUCAUUCAAUAGGAAAUUUAAAAAAGAAAACCGAAAGGAUUUCGCUUUCCUAACGCAUGGCUACUCCUCUGCUUGGUUGUUCUUAAAAAUAAUUUAUGUAAAGCAGGAUUUUCUCUAAAUAUACCGUGCUCUCUCAUACACAUUGCAAAUGAUAUUUGCAUACACCGAGUGUAUGCACUGAUACACACAUGGUAAAAAGUUAAAAAAUAUAGACUGCAUAAAUCAGAAGCUGAUUUUAAACAGACACCAACUUCAACAGAUUUGUUUGCAAUUUCUGAAUUCUUCAGGUAGAAAAGAUCUUUCUUGCUGGCUACGAUUGUAGAAGAUGUUUAUGUUCUAUAGAGUGUGCAAAAAUGCUUCUCCAUAUAAACAAAGAAAGAAAGGUUCCAGGAUCUUGGUAUUCUAACCUUGCCUUUGCUAUUAAAUAUCCAUCCAAUGACUGUGAGGAGACUGGUGAAAUCAGCCGGUCAUGCUACAGUAAACAUGGUAUUUUGUGCACUGCCCAAGACAUUUUUUCUCAUGAAUAUAAGUCACCUGCCAUUUAUUAUGAGAUUUUUUUUUCCCCGACUGACACCCCAUUAUGUAUAUUCAGUCAAGCUCAAACAAGAUUUCAAGUGAUCAAUACACUAUUGGUGCUGAAAGUCUAUUAGCCACUCUAGCAAUAAACUCUGCAGCGAAACGAAGAAUGGAGAAAUAUUUAGUGAACUGAAUUACACAGAAGUCCAUGUUUAGGGGCAAGGGAACAGAAAGAGGGAGGCAGAAAAGCAAGGGGAAGACAAGGGAAGGAAGACAUUUUUCCUAAUAAAAAUCAGCUUUCUGGAGCCUGACCAAUGAUCAAAUGCAUUAAAUGCCUAAGAAUUGUUUCAAAAAUAUCUUAAAUUACAUGGUGAGGUCUCUAAAGAAACAGGGAGGGGUCUUCCUCUGGGUCCCUUUCUGAGAACAGAGAGUUGCUUCCAUAAAGAACCAUACGUGGAAGUAUUUGAUAUCCCAAAGUGGAGAAGGCAGGCCGAUGGUAAAAUCCUGCACCAUCCAGUGUCUAUGUGUCCAAGAGCAAUGCCGUGUUUGAACACUUUUCACUUUAUAUCUGAAGCGUAGCAGAUCUCAACAGGGAGCUGAGCUCAAGAAGUAUUCUGGUUCAUCUAUGCAUUAGGAAAGCUAACUCAAUAGCCGCCAAAGGAUUUCACCUGGCACAAAAGAAUGCUGCU
Molecule: long non-coding RNA, 5036 nt
Filed under: Sus scrofa (pig)
Lineage: Eukaryota; Metazoa; Chordata; Mammalia; Artiodactyla; Suidae
Description: lncRNA (ENSSSCG00040053631.1)
Source: RNAcentral